UACGUAGGGUGCGAGCGUUGUCCGGAAUUAUUGGGCGUAAAGAGCUUGUAGGCGGUUUGUCGCGUCUGCUGUGAAAAUCCGGGGCUCAACCCUGGACUUGCAGUGGGUACGGGCAGGCUAGAGUGUGGUAGGGGAGACUGGAAUUCCUGGUGUAGCGGUGGAAUGCGCAGAUAUCAGGAGGAACACCGAUGGCGAAGGCAGGUCUCUGGGCCGCUACUGACGCUGAGAAGCGAAAGCGUGGGGAGCGAACAGG
Molecule: ribosomal RNA, 253 nt
Filed under: uncultured bacterium
Lineage: Bacteria
Description: partial 16S ribosomal RNA
Rfam family: Bacterial small subunit ribosomal RNA
Source: RNAcentral